Molecule: ribosomal RNA, 253 nt
Filed under: uncultured bacterium
Lineage: Bacteria
Description: partial 16S ribosomal RNA
Rfam family: Bacterial small subunit ribosomal RNA
Source: RNAcentral
UACGGGGGGGGCAAGCGUUGUUCGGAACUACUGGGCGUAAAGGGCGCGUAGGCGGUUUGGAAAGUCAGAUGUGAAAGCCCAGGGCUUAACCCAGGAACGUCAUUUGAUACUGCCAGACUAGAGUGCGGAAGAGGCAGUCGGAAUUCCUGGUGUAGCGGUGAAAUGCGUAGAUAUCAGGAGGAACAUCGGUGGCGAAGGCGGACUGCUGGGCCGACACUGACUCUGAGGCGCGAAAGCUAGGGGAGCGAACGGG